Pelobates cultripes (western spadefoot toad) is the source of this 399-nucleotide non-coding RNA. Lineage: Eukaryota; Metazoa; Chordata; Amphibia; Anura; Pelobatidae. The record is from the annotation of a GenBank genome assembly.
AUUUUAGUUAAUGAAGAGGAAAUGGUAAAUUGGUCAGGUGACAUGUAUGUGAACAACGCGAGGACGAGGUGGUGAGGUACUUUAUACAAUUUAAUAUUGGCUUAUACAUUUAGAGCCAGAAUUCCUCUUAAAAAAAUACUCCAGGUAUACCUUGGAUAUGGGAAAUACGAGCAUCUAGGGAAUCGUUUACAGUAAGAGUUAACAUGAUCUUUCUGGUAACUGAUGAUGUUAUGCGAGAUAUUAUAAUGAAGCCUAGUCUUGUAGAUAUCCAGGAAAGGAAAGACUUAGAUUAACAUGUAGUACACAUAUAAGUUUACCCCCUGAGUCUGUAAUGACAUGGAAAAAGGAAGGAAUGUUUUUGGGUAGUAUGUCACAUACAACGCCAAAGGUUAUUCACAG